Molecule: long non-coding RNA, 1091 nt
Filed under: Brassica napus (rape)
Lineage: Eukaryota; Viridiplantae; Streptophyta; Magnoliopsida; Brassicales; Brassicaceae
Description: long non-coding RNA (BNAP_LNC016661)
Source: RNAcentral
CCAUAUGUUGCGAGUGUAGAAUUCUAUCUCAGUGACAUAGAACAACACCCAAGAUACGGUAAGAACUAUACAAAAUAAACCCACCCAAAAUCUUUGACUACUAUAUCCAAACCCCUACUUAGUAAAUCUAAACCCUAACCAGGAACCUAUAAACCCAAAUACAAUCUAUAAACUAUUUUUCAAUAUUAGACAAUCUAAACUCUAACAAAGAACGUACAACAUGGCAAAUUAUUACAUAUUUAAUAAAUAGUAUAGAACUAUUAUCACAAAUAGUAUAGAAAUAUUGUCACAAAUUGACUUUGUAAAUGCUUUAGAGAAGUUUUGAUAGUAUAGUACACUAAUAUAAGGGUUUAUAUGCUAUCUAACCAAAUUUGACUAUUAUACCCACCCACUUAAAUAUUAAACCCUAGACAAACUCUCUAGUUACUAAAUCUAAACCCAAAUAACUGAACUAUAAACUCAAAUAGAACCUUUAUAAAUAGUUAGAAUGACUGACUCACACCCAAUUUUAAAUAUUAAACUCUAAACUGUUAUCACUAAAUCAAAAACUCAAUCUUCACCUUCCAAAUACUAAACCCUAAAUUUUAAUCACAAAUUCCUAAACCAUACCACCCAAUUAAAUAUUAAACCCUAAACAAACUCCCUAGUUACUAAAUCUAAACCCAAAUAUAAUGUCUAUGAUUGCAUGAAAGAAGUUAAUGUUGACCCCAACCAUACUCCCUCACAUUCUAAAUACUAAACCCUAAAUUCUAGCCACUAAACCAUAAUCCAAAUAUACACUAAACCCUAAACCUAAAUAAAUAGAUUAAGUUAAACCCUAAUCAAUGAAGUAUAAACCCAAAUAGAAUGUAUAUAAUAUGGUUUACUAUACCCAAACUUUUACUUAGUAAAUCUAAACCCUAGGCAGGAACCUAUAAACUCAAAUACAAUCUAUAAAUUGUUUUCCAAUAUUAAACACUUGAAAGCACAUUUACUUGGUUAACAUGUUGCAUAUCUUAUAUUCCAUAUAGUCUAAGUAGUAUAGUAAACGAAUGUUCCAAAUAAUCAAAUUUGACCAACACACGAAAAAAUGAAUUUCAUAUUACAAUCAA